GUGUCCUCGCUUGUUGGGCAAUUAUAAGCUGUGACCAUCUAGUCCCGCCAUCCUGAGAGGAAAUACCAGUGAACUUGAGUUUCUCCAAUGAAGGUGAUCACAGUGAUGAAUGACUUGGCUUCUGCACAGCAAAAGACAUGAUCAUCAGAGCGAACAGACAACCUACAGAAUGGGAGAGCAUUUGUGCCAUCUAUCCAUCUGACAAAAGUCUAAAAUCCAAAGUUUACAAAGAACUUAAACAAAUUUACAAGAAAAAAACAAACGACCCCGUUAAAAAGUGGGCAAAGGAGAUGAACAGACACUUCUCCAAAGAAGACAUUCAUGCAGCCAACAAAGAUAUGAAAAAAGCUCGACAUUACUACUCAUUAGAGAAAUCCAAAUCAAAACCACAAUGAGAUACCACCACAUGCCAGUCAGAAUGGCAAUUAUUAAAAAGUCAAUAAACAACAGAUGCUGGUGAGAUUGUGGAGAAAAAGGAACACUUUUACACUGUUGGUGGGAAUGUAAAUUAGUUCAAACAUUGUGGAAGACAGUGUGGUGAUUCCUUAAAGAACUAGAAGCAGAAAUACCAUUUGACCCAGCAAUUCCAUUCCUGGGUAUCUACCCAAAGGAAUAUAAAUCAUUUCAUUAUAAAGAUACAUGUACGCGUAUGUUCAUUACAGCACCAAUCACAAUAGCAAAGACAUGGAAUCAAUCCAAAUGCCAAUCAAUGAUAGACUGAAUUAGAAAAAAAAAGUAGUACAUGUAUACCAUGAAUACUAUGCAGCCAUAAAAGGAAUGAGAUCAUGUUCUUUGCAGGGUCAUGGAUGGAGCUGGAAGCCGUUACUUUCAGCAAACUAACACAGGAACAGAAAGCCAAACACUGCAUGUUCUCACUUAUAAGUGAGAGCAGAAUGAUGAGAACACAUGGACACAUUAGGGGGAUCAACACACACUGGGGCCUGUUGUGGGGAUGGAGGGAGGGAGAGCAUCAGAAGAAUAGUUAAUGGAUGUUGGGCUUAAUACCUAGGUGAUGGUUUGUGAUAUGGUUAGGCUUUUUGUCCCCACCCAGAUCUUAUCUUGAAUUGUAAUCCCUGUAAUCGCCAAGUGUCUAGGGAGAUACCUGGUAGGGGGUGAUUAAAUCAUGGGGGCGGUUUCCCCCAUGCUGUGGUUGUACGGAAAAGAAAGAGAGAUCAGACUGUUACCGUGUCUAUGUAGAAAGGAAAGACAUAAGAGACUCCAUUUUGAAAAAGACUUGUACUUUAAACAAUUGCUUUGCUGACAUGUUGUUAAUUUGUAGCUUUGCCCCAACCACUUUGCCCAAACCACUUUGACCCAACCUGGAGCUCACAAAAACAUGUGUUGUAUGAAAUCAAGGUUUAAGGGAUCUAGGGCUGUGCAGGACGUGCCUUAUUAACAAAAUGUUUACAAGCAGUAUACUUGGUAAAAGUCAUUGCCAUUCUCUAGUCUCAGUAAACCAGGGGCACAAUGCACUGCGGAAAGCUGCAGGGACCUCUGCCCUUGAAAGCUGGGUCUUGUCCAAGGUUUCUCCCCAUGCGAUAGUCUGAAAUAUGGCCUCGUGGGAUGAGAAAGACCUGACCGUCCCCCAGCCCGACACCCGUAAAGGGUUUGUGCUGAGGUGGAUUAGUAAAAGAGGAAAGCCUCUUGCAGUUGAGAUAGAGGAAGGCUACUGUCUCCUGCCUGCCCCUGGGAACUGAAUGUCUCGGUAUAAAACCCGAUUGUACAUUUGUUCAAUUCUGAGAUGAGAGGAAAACCACCCUGUGGUGGGAGGCGAGACAUGUUUGCAGCAAUGCUGCCUUGUUAUUCUUUACUCCACUGAGAUGUUUGGGUGGAGAGAAACAUAAAUCUGGCUUACGUGUAUGUCCAGUCAUAGUACCUUCCCUUGAACUUAAUUAUGACGUAGAUUCUAUUGCUCACAUGUUUGUUGCUGACCUUCUCCUUAUUAUCACCCUGCUCUCCUACUACAUUCCUUUUUGCUGAAAUAAUGAAAAUAAUAAUCAAUAAAAACUGAGGGAACUCAGAGACCGGUGCCAGUGCAGGUCCUUGGUAUGCUGAGCGCCGGUCCCCUGGGCCCACUGUUGUUUCUCUGUACUUUGUCUCUGUGUCUUAUUUCUUUUCUCAGUCUCUCGUCCCACCUGACUAGAAAUACC
RNAcentral lists this long non-coding RNA (2150 nucleotides) under Homo sapiens (human). Its description in RNAcentral is "HSALNT0225526". The record is from RNAcentral. Lineage: Eukaryota; Metazoa; Chordata; Mammalia; Primates; Hominidae.